GACACCAGAGCUCUCUCCCCGCAAUGUGAGGACCUAGUAAGAAGGCAACCAUCUGCAGCCAUCCACACGCCAGGCAGAGGGUCCUUACCAGAACCCAAUCACAUUUGCACCUGAUCUCAGACUUCCAGCCUCCAGAACUAUCCGUGAUCUUCAAACUUGAACGUGCCUAGGAGUGAAUCGCCUGGGAAUCCUGUUGAAAUGCCUGCUCCGACUCAAUAUCACGGACGUGAGAGAUUCUGAACGAAUUCCCUGGAAGAGGAUGCAGUCACAUCCCCCUCCGCCGGCGCACGGGUUGCACGGGGAGGAAUUGGUGCGGCCAGGGCUGCCCUCAGAUGGAGAAACAAGCAGAGCCUUUGCAGACUCACUUCACUCCCACCCCAUGUUAAUAUCACCUUGGAAAAUGGCUGAGGGGCCCACAGGUCUUUUGGGGUGGUCCUAUUUCAUGGCAGCUAUUCCUUGAGGCCCAAAUGAUGGGCCGAGGCGGGGGAGAGGGGUGGUUUGAGGCCUCUGCCUUCCAUGAUCCGUCUCCAAGCUGGCUGUGGGAUGCGAUGGAAGAUCCCCAUCUGGAAGGAGGCUCCACCCGCAGCCACCUCCUCCUCCUCCAACCUGCCUUGCCUCCCAUGCAAGGAGCCCCAGCAGGGCACAACGCCCUCUUCCCAAGGCCCUGUCAGUCACAAACCUUCCCCUUGAGAAGGAGGACGGUCCUGUUCCAGUGUACCUUAGAGGGUCUUGGGGAAUCAUAGAUUUUCAUGUGCAUUUGGCGCAAUUCUUUCCUAUUAGCAAGGAGGAAACUGAGGCCCAGAGUGGUAGGCAGAUUUGGCCAAGGUCACUCAGCAGGGACUAGCCUAGCCUUUGGGGGCUACUCUGUGGCCAAGGUCUGGCGGAAGGCAAAUCUUAGAAAGCAGUGUUAGUGGGGUAAGAGGUUUGUCUAAAGACAAUGAAAUACCCAGAAAAACCCUCCUGACUCAGAUUGUUCCAGGUUUUGACCUGGAAACGUAACACACCUGAGAACAGGUUCUGACGUGGAGACGCAGACGCAGCCCACACAGGAGGGUCCCAACUUGGGCUGCUUGUUAUAGUCAUGUGAGGGCUCUUUUAAAAUGCUGAUGACUGGCCCACACCUCUGACAACCUGAAUCCCAAUCUCUCAGGCCUCACAGUCCCUGUGAGCUUGUUAGAAAUGCGGAUUUUCAGGCCCCACCCAGUCCAAUGGCAUCAGAAUCUGGGUGGUUCCCACGCAUGGAAAGGUUUGAGCAGCGUGCUUGGGCUACACAUUGGAACCACCUGACACCCAGGCCCCAGAUCAGGCCAAGGAAAUUGUAGUCUCCGAAGGGCGAGGCCUGCUGUGGGUGGUUUUUAACAGAGGCAAGGCCCACGGGGAGGACAGCAGGGCACAAAAUGUAAGCUCAAAGGCCUCAAAGACAUGUUGCUCUGUAUUCCAAUCUUGCAAAGCCCCAGGCAUCUUCAGGAAAAGGAAAUGUGGGUGAGGAAGUGGAGCCCGGAGAGGGGGUCCAGCUCAGCUCAACUUUAUAUGACCUGAGCCAAUCACAGCUGACGCCAGUGACCUAGACCAAAAGGCUGGUGAUUCUAUGUUCACUUUGAAACAGGGCAAGAGCAGUGAGGGGACUCUGAAGUCUCAGCGCAGCACACUGGGUAAGAAAGGGAGGGGAAGGAGAUAGGCAGGAUGGAAUAGCUGGAAUCAGAACUAGCUCCGCUGCAGCUCUAUGGCCUGGGGCAAAUUGUGUAACUGCUAAGCCUCAGUGUGAUCAUCUGUAAAAUGGAGAAAGUAACAACGCAUUCAUGGAGCCAUCGUGACCUGUCAGGAUAGCUGAAUAUAUAAAGCUAAGUUUUGGGGGCACCCCUGGGCCAAAACAGCAGCUGUAAUUAGUAGUAAUUCAAUUUUCCCUCCAUGGUCAUUUUGAGGAAGAUUCUAAGUUAGUCAAAGACAGAUGAAAUGUGAACAAUAAUCCUCUCUUUACAGAGUGAAAAACUGAUGUCGUAGUUUAUAAAUAACUCCCCUGGCUACGGAAGACUAUUAUCUCUGUCUCCUCCAGUCAGGCCUACUUUAAUUCACCACAGUGGUUUCCUACAAAUGUAAAAAGAAGAACAAUGACAAAAAAUAUACAAGAAAACAUGGGGAGGCAUGAAAAUCAACAAGACAUUAACUGAUAGGGAAAAGGGAGCAAGGAACUAGGUUAAAAUUAUGCAGAAGACCCUCUAGAUAAAUACCAGAGUGAAAAGACAGCUAAUUGAAGAAUGAGGGAGUUUUCUUAACCAGUGCUAGCUGACUAAAAAUAUAAUUAGCUUUGAUUCAUGAAGAUUGCUACAAUAUGACUCAUUUACCAAAACAGUUACUAGCAGAAUUACAUUUGUUACUGUGAGAGGACCACGUGGGAGCGAGGGCUGCAGUAAAUACCAAGUAAGGUUUCUACUUUCCCAGUGGCACCUUGAGAAAGAGUUGUGUUUCCUCAUCAGCUGUUUUCUGUGACCCUGCUGCUCUCAGAAGCACCUUUGGCGAUUAUCAGGAACACAGAGACCUUCUAGAGAGAUGGGAGGUGCUCAUGUCACUGCUCCCAACCAGGGCCUUGGGAAGGUCUCAGCUUUCCCGGCCUGGACACAGCACUGUAUGGGUCUCAAACUUCUUUUCUCCAAGUGAAGUCACAGCUCCUCGGCAGCUGUGCCCUUGGCUUUCGUGCCUUUGGUGCUGAUGUCUCUCACCUUAGAGAUUCCACACAAAGCUAGAAAUCAAACCUUCCUUGUGGCUUAUUGGUUGUCUGACUGCGUUAAGUAGGGAAAGCCAGUGUUUUUCCAUUUGGGUAUUUUCUCUUUAACUCCACUGUGGUAGGCUGGGCACUCAUCCCUGCAGCACAAAGCCAUUUAAAGAUUCAAACCUUCAAAGAUCUGUGUGCACAAUUCAGGGAAGGCAAUGGGCAGUGCUAGGCUAGGUCAGCGCACUAGCGCAGGUGCAGAGAUGCUGGGUAGCGGGAAUCUCAAGGAGCAAAGGGACCUUAGAGGAGUUCUGGCCCAACCACUUUAAGGACGGGCAUGGAUCCGGGGAAUGUGUGUGUAAGUGACAAGAAGAGCCAUGUGUUUUAUAAAAACAGAGCGGAUGGCACAGGAAGAAGUAAGAAGAUGUAUUUCUCACAUAGAGAAUGAGCACUGCAGGGAGAAACAUCCAGAAAAAGGCAGCAGCAAACAGUUCUGCAAGUACAAGAGUAAUGAAAAUAAAUACAGCUUACAAACCUAAUGAAGAACAUUUCAGAGCAGGUUGAGACCCUAACUGAUACAAAUGAGGCUCAUUAUCUUCCCUGGGCUCUCCUGUUCAGUGUAGGACAAGAAUCGUGCAAAUAGAAGGAGAUGACCAGGGCCGUAAUGGUAGAAUUAUAGCCCCACACCAGACCAGGGCCUCUUAAUAAGAAGAGCCAUUUUCAUUCCAGACCCAAAUCCACUUGAAGGCCUGAAGACCAUCAAUGUAAAUGAUGCGUAGCUGUCCUCAUUGUAGGGUAGUUAAUAUGUUAAGAGCCACCCACAUCUCUUUCCUCCAAAUAUGCCUAAGUGCAUCAGUAUUUCCCUAAAGCCUAAAUACUAAAGAUGAUUCCAGAGAUGAUUCUCAGGCUGAGACCAACCACAUUCUUUAUUAAGUGCCUGCUGUGUUCUAGGUACCAGCCUAAGUACUUUACAUGCAUUAUUUCAUUAAUCUCAUCCACAGGCCUAGGAGGUAGGUAUUAUCAAUACCCCCUUUUUUUAAAUUGAAGUAUAGUUGAUUUACAAUGUUGUGUUCAUUUCUGGGAUACAGCAAAAUGUGUCAGUUUCUGGUUAUACAGUGUAUAUAUGUAUAUAUAUUCUUUUUCAUUAUGGUUUAUUACAGGAUAUUGAAUAUAGUUCCUUGUGCUAUAUACCAUGGAACUUUAUUGUUUAUUUAUUUUAUAUAUAGUAGUUUCUGUCUGCUAACCCCAAACUCCUAAUUUAUCCCUCCCCCACCCCCUUUCUGCUUUGAUAAUCAUGUUUGUUUGCCAUGUCUGUGAGUCCGUGUCUGUUUCACAAAUAAUUUCCUUUGUGUCAUAUUUUAGAUUGUGCAUAUGUGAUAUCAUGUGAUAUUUGUCUUUCUGACUUACUUCACUUAUUAUGAUAAUCUCUAGUUGCAUCCAUGUUGCUGCAAAUGGUAUUAUUUCAUUCUUUUUAUGGCUGAGUAGUACUCCUGUGUGUGUGUGUGUGUGUGUGUGUGUGUGUGUGUAUGUAUGUGUGUGUGUGUGUAUACCACGUCGUUAUCCAUCUGUCAGUGGACACUUAGGUUGCUUCCAUGCUUUGACUGUUGUAAAUAGUGCUUCUAUGAAUAUUGGGGUACAUGUAUCUUUUCUAAUUAGAGUUUUCUGAGGAUAUAUGCCCAGGAUUGGGAUUGCUGGAUCAUGCGGUAGCUCUAUUUUUAGUUUUUUGAGGAACCUCCAUACUGUUUUCCAUAGUGGCUGUACCAAUUUACAUUCCCACCAACAGUGCAGGAGGGUUUGCUUUCCUCCACAUCCUCUCCAGCAUUUGCUAUUUGUAGAUUUUUAAAUGAUGGCUAUUCUGACCAGUGUGAAGGGGUAGCUCAUUGUAGUUUUGAUUUGCAUUUCUCUAUAAUUAGUGAUGUUGAGCAUCUUUUCAUGUGCUAUUGGCCGUCUGUAUUUCUUCUUUGGAGAAAUGUCUAUUUAGGUCUUCUGCUUAUUUUUUGAUUGGGAUGUUUUUUGUUAUUGAGUUGUAUGAGCUGUUUGUAUAUUUUGAAAAUUAAGCCCUUGUUGGUUGUGUCAUUUGUAAAUAUUUUCUCCCAGUCCAUAGGUUGUCUUUUUGUUUUGUUUAUGGUUUCCUUUGCUGUGCAAAAUUUUGUAAGUUUAAUUAGGUCCCAUUCAUUUAUUUUUGCUUUUAUUUCUAUUUCCUUGGGAGACUGACCUAAGAAAACACGGGUAUAAUUUAUGUCAGAGAAUGUUUUGCCUAUGUCCCCUUCUAGGAGCUUUAUGGUGUCAUGUCUUAUAUUUGUCUUUAAGCCAUUUUGAGUAUCAGUACCCUCAUUUUAAAGAAACAGAUAACAAGCUCAGAGAAGUCAAGUAAUCUGCCUAAGGUCAAACAGUAAGUGAGAAGUCAGAGAUUAAAACAGAAAACCAGCUGUGAUAGGUUAUUUUUAGGGUCAACCCCGUGAGGAGGUGACAAAGAUGAAACAGGCAGCGUGUCAGAGCAGACAGGAAGGAGUGGAUCAUCCUGUGUAGAGACAGGAUCAGUGCAAAGGCCCAGAGGCAGAAAAGAGCUUGGGAGGUGUAAGGACCUUCAGGUAUCUGCUGCUGAAUGACAACCUGCCCUAAAACUGUGGCUUGAGACAAUACCACUCAUUCAUUGGCUCAUGGUUUUGCAACUUGGAGAGGAUGCCUAGGGACAUUUCAUUACUGCUCCAUGUGCUGCCAGUUGUGGAAACGCAACUUGAGCUGGAGAGUCAAUUCCAAGGUAGCUUCCUCACGCGGAGAGAAAGCUGGUGCUGGCUGUCAGCGGGGAGCUCAGCCAGGGUCUUUAUUCUCCUUCACGCAGCCUCUCCACAGGGCUGCUUGGGCUUCCUCCAGCAUAAUGGUCGAAGCCCCAGAGGAAAGACAUGGACGCCGACAGCCCUUUCAAAGUCAAAACCCAGAGCUGGCAUAGUGUUACUUCCACCUUGUUCUAUAGGUCUACUCCGUCACAAGCCCAGCCCCGAUUUAGUGGGAGGAAUGACAAAGAGUGAAAAAAAGCCAGUGUGAUGGGAGUACAAUUAACUAGAGAUGGGGGAGCAAGGAAGGGAAGGGUCCUGGAACAAGGUGAUGAGAAAGGUUUUAUAACACUUUAUUGGCCAUGUGGAAAUGUCUGGAUUUCACUCUGUGUGUAUAAUAAGAAAUCCUUGCUUCUUUUUCUGACCCUUGCUCUUACCUCAACUUUAGUAGAAAACUAAGUUAGACACCCAAGGGAUUUCAAGUCCACAGAGCAAAUCUGCAUGUGCAUACAAUGCUUUAAUUCAGAUAUUUAAUGAAUAUGAGAAAUUAGUACACUGUCAUCCUCAGAUAUAAACUUCCCCCAAAUCCUAUCUGAGUGACCCAUGUAACACACCAGGUUUCCAGGAUACAGGAAUAAUGCCAGUGUAUCUUACCAGGUACCAUACCAGGCAGUGCCACACCACCUUCACCUGCAGAAACAACCAGCGCUUGAUUUCUUUUCUACUCACUACCUUUAAAUACGUUAUACUCCUGAAAACUGAAAUUCAACAGCCCUUCAGUCUGUCUGUAGUAAACAUCCCUUGGAAGUCAGGGAGCUUGGCUGUGCCCACAGAGCUGAAGCACCAGCUCCAACAUGACUCCGCAGUGUUGCAGUGUCUUCAAGGUUAGAGAACUGGGUCCGUUGGUGCCAGUUAGAGUCCUUAGAGAAUGGAGAAUGGAGGAAUAGCUGCCCUUUGUUGAUAGGGCCCUGAACUUCUCUGUAUAUUGAUGGGUGUAAAUGUUGUAACACGGUGGAGGUUGGAAUGACAUUGCUAAGCACAUAUUAAAUACUUAUCUUUUGAGGCACUGAGGGUACCAAAGUCAGUUAGACACACUCUAAGUUCUUGAGAUGCUAAGUAUGGUGAGAAGAAUUACCCAUAAAUAGCUUUUUUUUGGUACAAUGUAGCAUGUAUAGUGAUGGAGGCAUUCAAAGGAUGCAAUGAGAUCACAGAAGUGGGGAACCUAGCUCAGCUUUCUGUGGCAACAAAACAGGAGAAACACCUUCCUGGAGGAGGUGAUUUGGGGCCUGAAUUGAGAAGGAGGAGGAGGAAAUAAGUAAGGUGUUUCAGCAGAGAGAACAUUAGGAAAGAGGCUUCCUAGUGUGAGGCAUGAGGCAGGUGUGUGUUUUGAGGUGGCAGGUGCGUGACAAGGCAAUGUUACUGGAAUAGAACUUUAAUGCAGAUUGUGGUCGGGGAUGAGAGGGCAGAUCACAGAGGGCUGUGUACACGAAAUUAAGGAACUUAGCAUUUAUUCUGUAACUAUCAACGAUUUUUAAAGAGGAUAAUGACUUGAUCAGAUUUAUGUUUUAGAUUAAUUGCUGUGGUAGAAAUAUAAACAAAGACAGCACUGAGACAAUAUCGAAGGCAGGGAAGCCAGUAGCAAGUACUGACCCAAUUUAAGGGAAAUGGUGACAGACUAUGGCAGUGGCAGUGGGAAUGGAAAAGGUGACACAGAUCUGAGAAACACUUAUGAGGCUGAAUUAUCACGAUUUAGCAAUGGAUUUGAGGUAAGAAGAGGAGAAGCUUGGGAGACUCCUGGACUUGGGAAAAUGAACAAAGAAUGAGAACAACGCACAGGGAAGGUGAUGAAGCUUGACCAAGGUUGACUUUGGGGUAUCUGGUGGCUUUUCAAAUUGGAGAUGACCAGCGUUUGUUUGAAUAUAUGAAUUCAAGUUUGAAAGUAGACAUUAAAGCUAAAAAAAUAGGUAUGUGUGUUCUUUUCACACUGAAGGCAAACAAUAUACAUGGUUGAGAUUCUCUAGAUUCUGAAGAAUAGUGAACAUAGAAUAGAAUCCUAGUACUCAUCAAUUUUUAAGGGAGGCCAAGAGGAAAAAUAGUCAUAGAAGAAGCAUCAGAACCUGCACAGUCUGGUGUAACUAGACCCGACUCUCCUUUCUUCCCACCACUGGCUCCAGAGGACCCAACAAAGGACCUGACAAGUACACAUGUGGACACCCAAGCCUGCACUCCCAGGCUCUGUCCACGUCCCUCUGCAAACACCCAUUCCUUCCUUGGCCACCUCCUGGGCCUACAGAUGCACACGCAGUGGGUUCAUCCAGAUUUGGGAGAAACGAUUUGGGGAAGAGGCCAUGCAGGCCAUGGAAGCAGAUUCGUGGCAAUCUGUGUGAGCAAUUCUGGGGUCCUGCAGACUUAUAGCAUGUGUGAUGAGUACCAGGAAAGUAAGGUGCAAGCUCUGGAUGGAUGUGUCCCCUUAGCUCCGCAUACCCCUUGCCGUUUAGGGAGGAGCGAAGGGGGCAGAGGCCAGAAUGGUGCUCUUUAAAAGCCCACGUGCAGGGCAGGGCCACUCUUGCCCAGGUCUAUGGGUAGAACAAACAGUCUGAUAGCCUCUGUUUUCUUGAUGAAACACGAAAAAGCUAAGGUUAUUUGCUGAGACAGGUUGGGUGGCGUUCCACCUAAAGGAAUCAAUGCCACCUUGAUUGUUUGGUUCUUUUAACUCUUGGGAAACAUAGUAUCUAAGCAGUUUGCCAUGAGAAUUUGUUACUUAAUUUGAAGUAUCACUAGAACCAUGCACCAGGCAAUCACAUAUGGAUUGGAAUCCCUAAGGUGCUACAAUGUACAGGCAUUCUCUUGGUAGAUUUUUUUUUUCUUCUCCUGCCCAUCUCAAUCAGCCCACAAAGUCUGCUUUGUGACAAAAGCAUGGACUAGAAAUGGGCGGGGUGGGGGGGUGGGCGGCCGGGCAGGUGCAUCACACACCCUGCUUCAGAGCCAGAGGGCUAUGAACCUGGUUUGGGCUCAGGAAUCCUCAGCCGUGGUGAAAGCAGGUCACCUUCAGAAUGAUCUGUUCCUCCCAAAGACUACUGGGCUUUACCGCGGGUGGAUCUUCCCUCCUGCCUUAAAGGCAAGUCCUUUAAAGAUGACAUCCAUGGCCCACAGAAUCAGAGCCAACCGAAGGUGGGAUGUCCAGAGAGCAUUUUUUUAAAUCUUAAAAUCAUGUGAACUUUCUUUCAAAGAAAAGGAACUGUUUUUAAAAGGAAGAAGAGAACAUGAAUUAAAUAACAGAGCAAUGACUAAACACCAGUUACAUAAUUUUAAAAAUA
Long non-coding RNA from Hippopotamus amphibius kiboko, 8798 nucleotides. RefSeq lists it as uncharacterized. NCBI's taxonomy places the organism in Eukaryota, Metazoa, Chordata, Mammalia, Artiodactyla, Hippopotamidae. The transcript has 3 exons. The record is from RefSeq and is a predicted model, not a curated record.